UAAAAAUUUGGUGUGGGUGGAAAGAAUUUUGGUCAAGGAUGAUUUCGCGGCCUAUCAGCUUGUUGGUGAGGUAAUGGCUCACCAAGGCGACGACGGGUAGCCGGCCUGAGAGGGUGACCGGCCACACUGGGACUGAGACACGGCCCAGACUCCUACGGGAGGCAGCAGUGGGGAAUAUUGCACAAUGGGCGCAAGCCUGAUGCAGCAACGCCGCGUGAGGGACGAAGGCCUUCGGGUUGUAAACCUCUUUUAGUAGGGAAGAAGCGAAAGUGACGGUACCUGCAGAAAAAGCACCGGCUAACUACGUGCCAGCAGCCGCGGUAAUACGUAGGGUGCAAGCGUUGUCCGGAAUUAUUGGGCGUAAAGAGCUCGUAGGCGGUUUGUCGCGUCUGCUGUGAAAACCCGAGGCUCAACCUCGGGCCUGCAGUGGGUACGGGCAGACUAGAGUGCGGUAGGGGAGAUUGGAAUUCCUGGUGUAGCGGUGGAAUGCGCAGAUAUCAGGAGGAACACCGAUGGCGAAGGCAGAUCUCUGGGCCGUAACUGACGCUGAGGAGCGAAAAGCAUGGGGAGCGAACAGGAUUAGAUACCCUGGUAGUCCAUGCCGUAAACGUUGGGGAACUAGAUGUGGGGGACCAUUCCACGGUCUCCGUGUCGCAGCUAACGCAUUAAGUUCCCCGCCUGGGGAGUACGGCCGCAAGCUAAAACUCAAAGAAUUUGACGGGGGCCCCGCACAAGCGGCGAGCAU
This 745-nucleotide ribosomal RNA is filed under the name Cryobacterium tepidiphilum. RNAcentral's name for it is "bacterial SSU rRNA". It matches the Rfam family "Bacterial small subunit ribosomal RNA", at positions 185 to 940 of the family's 1533-position model. Lineage: Bacteria; Bacillati; Actinomycetota; Actinomycetes; Micrococcales; Microbacteriaceae. The record is from RNAcentral.